GAUGAACGCUGGCGGCGUGCCUAAUACAUGCAAGUCGAGCGAACAGAUGAGGAGCUUGCUCCUCUGACGUUAGCGGCGGACGGGUGAGUAACACGUGUAUAACCUACCUAUAAGACUGGGAUAACUUCGGGAAACCGGAGCUAAUACCGGAUAAUAUAUUGAACCGCAUGGUUCAAUAGUGAAAGACGGCGUUUCUGUCACUUAUAGAUGGAUCCGCGCCGCAUUAGCUAGUUGGUAAGGUAACGGCUUAUCAAGGCAACGAUGCGUAGCCGACCUGAGAGGGUGGUCGGCCGCCCGGGAGCUGGGACGCGGUCCAGACGCCUACGGGAGGGAGCAGUAGGGAAUGUUCCGCAAUGGGCGGGAGCUUGACGGAGCAGCGCCGCGUGAGUGAUGGAGGUCUUCGGAGCGGAAAGCUCUGUUAUGGGGGGAGAACAAAUGUGGAAGGAGAUAUGGAGGUCUUGACGGUACCUAAUCAGAAAGCCACGGCUAACUACGUG
This 497-nucleotide ribosomal RNA is filed under the name uncultured bacterium. Its description in RNAcentral is "partial 16S ribosomal RNA". It matches the Rfam family "Bacterial small subunit ribosomal RNA", at positions 28 to 507 of the family's 1533-position model. The record is from RNAcentral.